UACGGAGGGUGCUAGCGUUGUUCGGAAUUACUGGGCGUAAAGCGCGUGUAGGCGGCCUGCUAAGUCUGAUGUGAAAGCCCGGGGCUCACCCCCGGAAGUGCAUUGGAAACUGGUAGGCUUGAGUCCCGGAGAGGAGGGUGGAAUUCCUGGUGUAGCGGUGAAAUGCGUAGAUAUCAGGAGGAACACCGGUGGCGAAGGCGGCCCUCUGGACGGUGACUGACGCUGAGACGCGAAAGCGUGGGGAGCAAACAGG
RNAcentral lists this ribosomal RNA (253 nucleotides) under uncultured bacterium. Its description in RNAcentral is "partial 16S ribosomal RNA". It matches the Rfam family "Bacterial small subunit ribosomal RNA", at positions 524 to 776 of the family's 1533-position model. The record is from RNAcentral.